GUUGGCGUCGCAUAGCCUGGCUAUUGCGUGAGUCUGAAAAACUCAUCUUCGAGUACCAUCGAUUCGUGGGUUCAAAUCCCACCGCCAACG
This 90-nucleotide transfer RNA is filed under the name Nitrosopumilaceae archaeon. RNAcentral's name for it is "tRNA-Phe". It matches the Rfam family "tRNA". Rfam says of the family: Transfer RNA (tRNA) molecules are approximately 80 nucleotides in length. Their secondary structure includes four short double-helical elements and three loops (D, anti-codon, and T loops). Lineage: Archaea; Thermoproteati; Nitrososphaerota; Nitrososphaeria; Nitrosopumilales; Nitrosopumilaceae. The record is from RNAcentral.